CUACGGGAGGCAGCAGUGGGGAAUAUUGGGCAAUGGGCGCAAGCCUGACCCAGCAACGCCGCGUGAGGGAAGAAGGUUUUCGGAUUGUAAACCUCUGUCCUUGGGGACGAAGAAGUGACGGUACCCAAGGAGGAAGCUCCGGCUAACUACGGUGCCAGCAGCCGCGGUAAUACGUAGGGAGCAAGCGUUGUCCGGAAUUACUGGGCGUAAAGGGUGCGUAGGCGGCAUAUUAAGUCAGGUGUGAAAUACUCGGGCUCAACCCGGGGGCUGCAUUUGAAACUGAUAUGCUUGAGUGUGAGAGAGGAAAGUGGAAUUCCUAGUGUAGCGGUGGAAUGCGUAGAUAUUAGGAGGAACACCAGUGGCGAAGGCGACUUUCUGGCUCAUAACUGACGCUGAGGCACGAAAGCGUGGGGAGCAAACAGGAUUAGAUACCCGCGUAGUC
Molecule: ribosomal RNA, 442 nt
Filed under: uncultured bacterium
Lineage: Bacteria
Description: partial 16S ribosomal RNA
Rfam family: Bacterial small subunit ribosomal RNA
Source: RNAcentral